This 695-nucleotide ribosomal RNA is filed under the name uncultured bacterium. RNAcentral's name for it is "bacterial SSU rRNA". It matches the Rfam family "Bacterial small subunit ribosomal RNA", at positions 32 to 715 of the family's 1533-position model. The record is from RNAcentral.
AACGCUAGCUACAGGCUUAACACAUGCAAGUCGAGGGGGAGCAUUUUAGUUUGCUUGCAAACUAAAGAUGGCGACCGGCGCACGGGUGAGUAACACGUAUCCAACCUGCCGAUAACUCGGGGAUAGCCUUUCGAAAGAAAGAUUAAUAUCCGAUAGUAUAUUAAAACCGCAUGGUUUUACUAUUAAAGAAUUUCGGUUAUCGAUGGGGAUGCGUUCCAUUAGUUUGUUGGCGGGGUAACGGCCCACCAAGACUACGAUGGAUAGGGGUUCUGAGAGGAAGGUCCCCCACAUUGGAACUGAGACACGGUCCAAACUCCUACGGGAGGCAGCAGUGAGGAAUAUUGGUCAAUGGACGAGAGUCUGAACCAGCCAAGUAGCGUGAAGGAUGACUGCCCUAUGGGUUGUAAACUUCUUUUAUAUGGGAAUAAAGUAUUCCACGUGUGGGAUUUUGUAUGUACCAUAUGAAUAAGGAUCGGCUAACUCCGUGCCAGCAGCCGCGGUAAUACGGAGGAUCCGAGCGUUAUCCGGAUUUAUUGGGUUUAAAGGGAGCGUAGGUGGAUUGUUAAGUCAGUUGUGAAAGUUUGCGGCUCAACCGUAAAAUUGCAGUUGAAACUGGCAGUCUUGAGUACAGUAGAGGUGGGCGGAAUUCGUGGUGUAGCGGUGAAAUGCUUAGAUAUCACGAAGAACUCCGAUUG